RNAcentral lists this unclassified non-coding RNA (357 nucleotides) under Hevea brasiliensis (rubber tree). Lineage: Eukaryota; Viridiplantae; Streptophyta; Magnoliopsida; Malpighiales; Euphorbiaceae. The record is from RNAcentral.
GGAAAAAAUAUCUCAAGGAGAGAAUAUGAACAGAGCCUCUAUCACCGUCAGCUCUAUCUCGUCCUUGCUUUCUAUGCUCAUGCUUAUAGAUUCGUAUAAGUUGAUGAUUUUAUGUCAAAAUGUUUAUAAUUUUAGAUUUUGAAAUGGGUAGGGAUAAAGUCAUGUAUAAGGGGCUGUUGAUGGUUACUAGAGAUUAAUAGUACUUGUGGGAGGCUUCAUUUUGCUUUAAUUUGUGUUUCGAUGUUCGAAAUUUGUGUUUGUGAGGGUAGGUAGCUCUGUGGGUGUUGAAUGAGAGGAAACCUUAGCUUUAAUUGCUAAAUUUGUUUAGGCAUGGUGUAUUUGAUUGUUGUGUUUGAU